This 468-nucleotide ribosomal RNA is filed under the name uncultured bacterium. RNAcentral's name for it is "partial 16S ribosomal RNA". It matches the Rfam family "Bacterial small subunit ribosomal RNA", at positions 28 to 507 of the family's 1533-position model. The record is from RNAcentral.
GACGAACGCUGGCGGCGUGCUUAACACAUGCAAGUCGAACGGAAAGGCCCUGCUCUUGUGGGGUGCUCGAGUGGCGAACGGGUGAGUAACACGUGAGUAACAUGCCCCUGACUUUGGGAUAACAUCAGGAAAAUGGGGCUAAUACAGGAUAGGAGCUCCUGCAGCAUGGUGGGGGUUGGAAAGUUUCGGCGGUUGGGGAUGGUAUGGCGGCUUAUCCGCUUCUUGGUGGGGUAGUGGCGUACGAAGUCUUUGACGGGUAGCCGGCCUGAGAGGGUGACCGGGCACCAUGGGACUGCGAGACGGCCCAGACGCCUACGUGCGGCAGCGGUGGAGAGUAUUACGCAACGGGCGGAAGCCUGAUGCAGCAGCGCCGCGUGCGGGAUGACGGCCUUCGGGUUGUAAACCGCUUUCGCCGUUGACGAAGCGUGAUUGACGGUAAUUGGUAAAGAAGCACCGGCUAACUACGUG